This 468-nucleotide ribosomal RNA is filed under the name uncultured bacterium. RNAcentral's name for it is "partial 16S ribosomal RNA". It matches the Rfam family "Bacterial small subunit ribosomal RNA", at positions 28 to 507 of the family's 1533-position model. The record is from RNAcentral.
GACGAACGCUGGCGGCGUGCUUAACACAUGCAAGUCGAACGGAAAGGCCCUGCUUUUGUGGGGUGCUCGAGUGGCGAACGGGUGAGUAACACGUGAGUAACCUGCCCUUGACUUUGGGAUAACUUCAGGAAACUGGGGCUAAUACCGGAUAGGAGCUCCUGCUGCAUGGGGGGGGUUGGAAAGUUUCGGCGGUUGGGGAUGGACUCGCGGCUUAUCAGCUUGUUGGUGGGGUAGUGGCUUACCAGGGCUUUGACGGGUAGCCGGCCUGGGAGGGUGACCGGCCACAUGGGGACUGAGAGACGGCCCAGACUCCUACGGGAGGCAGCAGUGGGGAAUAUUGCACAAUGGGCGGAAGCCUGAUGCAGCAACGCCGGGUGUGGGAUGACGUCCUUCGGGGUGUAAACCGCUUUCGCCUGUGACGAAGCGUGAGUGACGGUAAUGGGUAAAGAAGCACCGGCUAACUACGUG